UUUUGUCACCAUAAUCAUACACCCUUUCCCAGACAAAGUUCCAAGAGCAUCAGCCACCAAGGGCAGAACCUUUCCAAAACGCUUUGAUGACCUGUGCGGUUCCAGGAAGGUGGGGCCGCGUUGCACAGAGGCGGCAACAUCACCAUUUCUGUGAAUUUCAGUUGCUUCGUAUUUCACUGGGGGAUAGCAUUUGUUUUGCUAAAGAUUCGCUGCUGCGAGAAUUUCGGGGGAGAGCCACUGGCGGCCGAGUGGACACCAAGCCCAGGGAAGAUUGGGGCGGCAACCGAGCGAGCAGGACCCGUGGUUCAGAGGGAUGCGGCCGGCUCGUGUCCGCGCAUCCCCGCGGGUGGUGCUGCGGGGACAGCGCUUCGUGGGCCAGCCCCACAAGCCGCCACCUCCCCCGGGGACCAGAGCGGGAUGAGGGGAUGCUGCUGAUGAUGAUGGUGCUGCUGCUGCGCUCCGAAGGGUUAAAAGCCGUCGAGCCCCGUGCGUGGGAGCGGUCUGGGCAGUGUGGGGAGAAAUGCAGAAAAAAUUGGAGUAACUGUUUUCCAGUUCUAGUGAGUAGCCCUGGUUUCUUGAGGAAGCAAGGCAUCAGGAAAUUACACUAAUAUUGAAUCACUGUUCUGUACACACCAUCGUUCUGUACAGAUGUUUUCCACGGUGAGGAAGUUGUUGUUAGCAUCAGAACAGCAAUUGAAGCCGGUGGACAGUAUCUUGUGACUGCAAGAAAGACCUCAGGACUUCUGACUUCCAUUGAGUUCCUGCACAAGCGGGACACAGAAUCCAGGAGCCAGGAGCCACUGACAUUUUUAUAUCAGGAAGAGCAGCAUUUAAAAGAUCACUCCCAUUUCACUGGGGAAAUUUUGAGUUGCUGGCUAGCCCCUUUGGACACCCUUACUGUCACUGAAGAAAUGCAGGUACCACGAAGGGAUGAUUAAGGCCACCCAAGAAUCCAAAAGUGUGUCAAACAGUUAACACUGAGUCUUGUGUAAUAACCUACAAUUAGCAUGCAAUGCCCAAGGCAUUUGCCCCCACUGACAACGUGGUUUAAUCCAGCAGUAAAGUAGGCUAAAAUGAUUAUUAUAGCUAAUAGUAUUUUUAACAGAAGUGAAACUGUAGAAAAGAGGCUACACAAAUACAUUGAUUUCAGCCCUGCCUCCCUGACAAGUCUGUAUGGAUUUUGUUAUUUGUGGUUCAUUUUUUCAAAAAGAACCCAGGGCCUGCAAAUGUAGAAAUCCCUGGCUGUAUGAAAUGGUUGUGCAUCAGAAUGAGGGAUUUGCAUGUUCAACUGCCCAUAUUUGUAUCCUUCUAUCCAGUUUGCAUAUGCAAAGAUUGUUAUAUUUAUCAGUGCAUAAAUAAAAGGAGGAGAGAUAAAUGACCUGGUUUGCAGAGGUGCUGAGCACAUGCAGUUUCCAUUUAUUUCAACUGGAGUGUGAAAAACAGGCCCUAAGUGACUGGCUCAGGCUCACACAAUGCAUGAUUGUCAGUGCCAGGAAGAAAACCCAGAAAUCCUUCCAGUCUAAUCCUGCAGUUUAAAUCCUCCCCAGUCUAAACUCUAGACACAGUCUCUCCAAGAAAUAAAAAGGAAAAAAAGAAAAAAAAAUAAAUCUGUGCAGUAGCCUGACCACACUCUUAUUCCUACCUUAAUUUUCUAAGAGAAUAAAAAAAAUGGGACAUGAAAAACUCCUGCAUAAUAUUUAAUGACUAGCAAAUAAUGCCAAGUAGGGCAACUAAAUAUGUGUGAAGCAUUGCUCACACACCCAUCAACUUGCAUGUGUGUCACAGAUGGUUUUAGUGAAGAGCCAAAAAGAGAAGGAGAGAAAGGAAAAGGAAAGCAAGGCCAGAUAAAGAGUAAGCUAGAAAGAGAGACAAAGACAUUUUCUGCUGUUAAAAAAGAAAAAAAAAAAAUCCCUUAAAAAUACUACAAAAACUAAUGAUAAAAAAACCCAGAACCAUUCCAUCUCCUUGAUAACGUGUAGGCUAAUCUCUACAUAAAUAGAAAUAACAACCCUUUGAAAUGGCAAUGAUUUGCUUGGAAAACAUUCAUUAAAAACGUCCUGCAAUUAUUGACUCUAUCAUUAU
This is an RNA transcript of Myiozetetes cayanensis, 2082 nucleotides long. RefSeq lists it as uncharacterized. The transcript is spliced from 4 exons. NCBI's taxonomy places the organism in Eukaryota, Metazoa, Chordata, Aves, Passeriformes, Tyrannidae. The record is from RefSeq and is a predicted model, not a curated record.